This 525-nucleotide ribosomal RNA is filed under the name uncultured Flavobacterium sp. Its description in RNAcentral is "bacterial SSU rRNA". It matches the Rfam family "Bacterial small subunit ribosomal RNA", at positions 337 to 864 of the family's 1533-position model. The record is from RNAcentral. Lineage: Bacteria; Pseudomonadati; Bacteroidota; Flavobacteriia; Flavobacteriales; Flavobacteriaceae.
UCCUACGGGAGGCAGCAGUGAGGAAUAUUGGUCAAUGGGCGCAAGCCUGAACCAGCCAUGCCGCGUGCAGGAUGACGGUCCUAUGGAUUGUAAACUGCUUUUGUACAGGAAGAAACACCCCGACGUGUCGGGACUUGACGGUACUGUAAGAAUAAGGAUCGGCUAACUCCGUGCCAGCAGCCGCGGUAAUACGGAGGAUCCAAGCGUUAUCCGGAAUCAUUGGGUUUAAAGGGUCCGUAGGCGGCUUAAUAAGUCAGUGGUGAAAUCCCUACGCUUAACGUAGGAACGGCCAUUGAUACUGUUAGGCUUGAAUUAUUAGGAAGUAACUAGAAUAUGUAGUGUAGCGGUGAAAUGCUUAGAGAUUACAUGGAAUACCAAUUGCGAAGGCAGGUUACUACUAAUGGAUUGACGCUGAUGGACGAAAGGCGUGGGUAGCGAACAUGGAUUAGAUACCCUGGUAGUCCACGCCGUAAACGAUGGAUACUAGCUGUGGAAGCAAUUUCAGGGGUAAGCGAAAGAAAUAAG